Long non-coding RNA from Leucoraja erinaceus (little skate), 2604 nucleotides. RefSeq lists it as uncharacterized. The record is from RefSeq and is a predicted model, not a curated record. The transcript has 3 exons. NCBI's taxonomy places the organism in Eukaryota, Metazoa, Chordata, Chondrichthyes, Rajiformes, Rajidae.
ACGAAGGAACUGAAGGAAAUCCACAUUAGGCAGGAAAUGGUGUUGGGUGGGUAGACUGACCGGAUAGGGGUACGAGAAAAGUGGAGGGGAGGAGAGGAGACAAAAACACCAGGUACAUGGUUAGUUUUACCGUUAAAUCUAUAUUACUAAAACUCUGUUCUUGACCGCUUUUGGCGAUCUGUGGUGCGAUUUCCGAGAGAACGCCGCCACCUACGGCCAUCAUUUUUGGCCACCUCGCUUAGAGCCCCCCUCUGCCGCAUUUUACCCGUCGAUGAAAUAUGAUCGAGAUAUUAAUGUUUUUACAGCAUUCCCCAUUCUCUCUGCUGCCCCCGUUGGCAGCAGGGGGAGGGAGGGACUAUAAAACCAGGAAGUGUCCUGCUUCAAUCACUUUCUUCCGGACCACGAAGUGAAAAGGUCACGGCUCUCUGAGCUGCGGAUCUACUCUAAGGUGAGUCCCCUGCAUAUGCUUUUUCAGCCAAUUGGUCUGUUGUUCACCAUUCACCAUGGUCUGAAGUUUCUUGGCAAAUUUGUAUUGAAAAUAAAAAGCAUUUGCAAAUUUGUCUAUCUAUAUUGUCUUUGAAAUGUGUAUUGAACAUGAAAUGCAUUUGUAUACCCGUCUUCAGGUGACUAAAGCAUGAUGUCCGUAUUGUCUUUGAAAUGUUUAUGUAAAUUGAAAUGCACCUGUUGCAACGUUUUCACGCGGAAUAAAGCUUUUUAUUUGGACCAGAACUGUGUUUACAUUUAAAAUUGGCGCUCAUUUUGUGAUUUUGGCGGUUGCAAGAUGGCGGCGAUGACGUCGUUUCUGAUGAUCGGUAAGCCGGUGGCGAUGACGUCAUUUCCGGUCGGAGGCAAGAUGGCGGCGAUGAAGUCAUUUCCGGUCGGAGGCAAGAUGGCGCUGCCUGCUGAAGGCGGAGUGCACGAGGUCUUGAAUAAUUCUACAGAACUGGUAAAUGUUGUGUGUUUGUUGCAGCAAAAGCUGUAUUGUGUUUCAGCAAAAGCUGCAUUGUCUUUCAGCAAAAGCUGCAUUGUCUUUCAGCCACAGACUACAACAGGAUUUGAAGAUUCGUUCAAAUAUUCGGCUGCUUUCUAUAUGGAUUGAAUGAACCAAAGCCAGAAUCCAUGACAAAUUGGAGCAGAAGGCAUCAAACCCAAAGCAGCACUGUGGCAGAUGUGGCACUCUUUUUCCCUAAGGAGUCAGAAUCUUUCGGCCUCCUUUUAAGAAUGAAAAUGGCAAGAAUACCGAAGGAAAUCCUGUCAUAAAGGUAAGAACAGAACUUAGUCAAAGUCAAAGUCAAAGUCAAAGUAACUUUAUUGUCAAUUCAAUUAUGCAACAGUAGUUACACAUAGGAUCGAAAUUACGUUUCCCCAUACUCCAAAUGUGCAAGUAAUAUUAAAAACACAGACAGACAACAUAUCAAUAAAAAUAGACAAUAGACAUACAUUAUUUAAAAUAUUAAAAUAUUCACAGUAUGCCAAAAUGUAGCACAACCUUUGAGGUAUUUUAAACAGGGUGCAACAAUGAAAGGUGCAAUAUAGAAAAAGUGCAAAUUCCGUACUGGAGACAUUGAGCCAAAGUUAUUUUCACAGUUUGUUUGUCUUUGUUUGGGUACUGUUCAUGGAAUUUUCUUAAGUGUGUUGAGUAGUCUGAUGGCCUGAGAGAAAAAGCUGUUUUUGAAUCUGGUGGUUUUGCUCCGCAUGCUGCAGUAGCGCUUACCGGAAGGUAGGAGGGUGAACAGUUUGUGUGCAGGGUAUGUGGUGUCUUUGAUGAUAUUCCCAGGAUUAUUCCCAGGAUAAAGGACAAGUGAGAAUACGCUUUUAUGAAUCAACUGAGUGGGUCUACAUUAGCAUUUUAUUUUCUACCGGAUCGAAAUUACUGCUUUUUAGAAAACUCUUCAUCGCUGCUGUUGGAGGCAGGAUCUAAUGUGGUACCUUCACGCCCACGUUGGUUCUGCAUGCAGCCUAUCUCACCGCUGGCGACUCGCCAACAGCCUCACGAAAAGGUCCAGCCACAAGAGGUCAAUAACAACUCCAAGGUCACAGGCAGUAAUAGGCCUUAUAUACCCACUGGUUAUGAAUGUUGAGAGUGUAUGUAAAGGGGCUUCUGGAAUAAUAAUAAUAAUAAUAAUAAUGUUUAUUUAUAUAGCACUUUUCAACAAAACCAGUAUUUGAACCAAAGUGCUUUACAGAGAUUGAUUAAAUUAAUUGAACAGAUCAAUGCAAUAAAUCCAUACAAAUCAAAAAAAGAGAAAAAGAAAAAAGACACAGACACAGUACACUAUAGAAAUCAACAUGAAACGUCCCCCUACAGCAGAAUUCACUGUGAGGGAAGGCACUAAAAAUAUCCAGUUCUCCCCCUCAUAGUCCACCCGAUGUCGGGGCCUAUAUCUGGCCUCCUCAGCCAACCCGAUGUUUUCAGGCCCUCUUGCCGCGAAGCUGGAUCAUCGGCGUCGGGUGAACAUCCUUCAGCGGCUCGGACUGAAGCGGCCGCUUCCCCCCCGAAGACUGCAACGACCAAAGUUCACAGGCCGCGCCAGCCGAACCUCCGACUCUGGCGAUCUCGGAUCCCAGGCUCCGCGGUGCUGUCGGCGGUCACAGUGCCCCGGA